Molecule: microRNA precursor, 61 nt
Filed under: Limulus polyphemus (Atlantic horseshoe crab)
Lineage: Eukaryota; Metazoa; Arthropoda; Merostomata; Xiphosura; Limulidae
Description: Lpo-Mir-1993-P5_pre stem-loop
Source: RNAcentral
UCGCGAAGGCUAGCAUAAUAAUGUUGAGGUCAUGGUUCAUAUUAUGCUGGUGUUCGUGGGU